This 438-nucleotide ribosomal RNA is filed under the name uncultured bacterium. Its description in RNAcentral is "bacterial SSU rRNA". It matches the Rfam family "Bacterial small subunit ribosomal RNA", at positions 340 to 768 of the family's 1533-position model. The record is from RNAcentral.
UACGGAAGGCAGCAGUAGGGAAUAUUGGGCAAUGGAGGCAACUCUGACCCAGCCAUGCCGCGUGGAGGAUGAAGGCGCUCAGCGUUGUAAACUUCUUUUAACUGGGAAGAACGAGCAGGGUGCGCCCUGUUGUGACGGUACCAGUGGAAUAAGCACCGGCUAACUCCGUGCCAGCAGCCGCGGUAAUACGGAGGGUGCAAGCGUUGUCCGGGAUUUAUUGGGUUUAAAGGGUGCGUAGGUUGGGAUCAUAAGUCUGGUUUUGAAAGCUGGUGGCUCAACCAUCAGAUGUGGCUGGAAACUGUGGUUCUUGAAUGGCGUAGCGGCAGCCGGAAUGGGUCAUGUAGCGGUGAAAUGCAUAGAUAUGACCCGGAACACCGAUUGCGAAGGCAGGGCUACUGGGGCGUCGAUUUGGACACUGAGGCACGAGAGCAUGGGGUA